GACGAACGCUGGCGGCGUGCUUAACACAUGCAAGUCGAACGGAAAGGCCCUGCUUUUGUGGGGUGCUCGAGUGGCGAACGGGUGAGUAACACGUGAGUAACCUGCCCUUGACUUUGGGAUAACUUCAGGAAACUGGGGCUAAUACCGGAUAGGAGCUCCUGCUGCAUGGUGGGGGUUGGAAAGUUUCGGCGGUUGGGGAUGGACUCGCGGCUUAUCAGCUUGUUGGUGGGGUAGUGGCUUACCAAGGCUUUGACGGGUAGCCGGCCUGAGAGGGUGACCGGCCACAUUGGGACUGAGAUACGGCCCAGACUCCUACGGGAGGCAGCAGUGGGGAAUAUUGCACAAUGGGCGGAAGCCUGAUGCAGCAACGCCGCGUGCGGGAUGACGGCCUUCGGGUUGUAAACCGCUUUCGCCUGUGACGAAGCGUGAGUGACGGUAAUGGGUAAAGAAGCACCGGCUAACUACGUGCCAGCAGCCGCGGUGAUACGUAGGGUGCGAGCGUUGUCCGGAUUUAUUGGGCGUAAAGGGCUCGUAGGUGGUUGAUCGCGUCGGAAGUGUAAUCUUGGGGCUUAACCCUGAGCGUGCUUUCGAUACGGGUUGACUUGAGGAAGGUAGGGGAGAAUGGAAUCCCUGGUGGAGCGGUGGAAUGCGCAGAUAUCAGGAGGAACACCAGUGGCGAAGGCGGUUCUCUGGGCCUUUCCUGACGCUGAGGAGCGAAAGCGUGGGGAGCGAACAGGCUUAGAUACCCUGGUAGUCCACGCUGUAAACGGUGGGUACUAGGUGUGGGGUCCAUUCCACGGGUUCCGUGCCGUAGCUAACGCUUUAAGUACCCCGCCUGGGGAGUACGGCCGCAAGGCUAAAACUCAAAGGAAUUGACGGGGCCCCGCACAAGCGGCGGAGCAUGCGGAUUAAUUCGAUGCAACGCGUAGAACCUUACCUGGGUUUGACAUGGAUCGGGAGUGCUCAGAGAUGGGUGUGCCUCUUUUGGGGUCGGUUCACAGGUGGUGCAUGGCUGUCGUCAGCUCGCGUCGUGAGAUGUUGGGUUAAGUCCCGCAACGAGCGCAACCCUUGUUCACUGUUGCCAGCACGUUAUGGUGGGGACUCAGUGGAGACCGCCGGGGUCAACUCGGAGGAAGGUGGGGAUGACGUCAAGUCAUCAUGCCCCUUAUGUCCAGGGCUUCACGCAUGCUACAAUGGCUGGUACAGAGAGUGGCGAGCCUGUGAGGGUGAGCGAAUCUCGGAAAGCCGGUCUCAGUUCGGAUUGGGGUCUGCAACUCGACCUCAUGAAGUCGGAGUCGCUAGUAAUCGCAGAUCAGCAACGCUGCGGUGAAUACGUUCCCGGG
RNAcentral lists this ribosomal RNA (1343 nucleotides) under uncultured bacterium. Its description in RNAcentral is "16S ribosomal RNA". It matches the Rfam family "Bacterial small subunit ribosomal RNA", at positions 28 to 1378 of the family's 1533-position model. The record is from RNAcentral.